RNAcentral lists this ribosomal RNA (1499 nucleotides) under uncultured Halomonas sp. Its description in RNAcentral is "bacterial SSU rRNA". It matches the Rfam family "Bacterial small subunit ribosomal RNA". The record is from RNAcentral. Lineage: Bacteria; Pseudomonadati; Pseudomonadota; Gammaproteobacteria; Oceanospirillales; Halomonadaceae.
AGAGUUUGAUCCUGGCUCAGAUUGAACGCUGGCGGCAGGCCUAACACAUGCAAGUCGAGCGGUAACAGGGGUAGCUUGCUACCCGCUGACGAGCGGCGGACGGGUGAGUAAUGCAUAGGAAUCUGCCCGAUAGUGGGGGAUAACCUGGGGAAACCCAGGCUAAUACCGCAUACGUCCUACGGGAGAAAGGGGGCUUCGGCUCCCGCUAUUGGAUGAGCCUAUGUCGGAUUAGCUAGUUGGUAAGGUAAUGGCUUACCAAGGCAACGAUCCGUAGCUGGUCUGAGAGGAUGAUCAGCCACAUCGGGACUGAGACACGGCCCGAACUCCUACGGGAGGCAGCAGUGGGGAAUAUUGGACAAUGGGGGCAACCCUGAUCCAGCCAUGCCGCGUGUGUGAAGAAGGCCCUCGGGUUGUAAAGCACUUUCAGCGAGGAAGAACGCCUAUCGGUUAAUACCCGGUAGGAAAGACAUCACUCGCAGAAGAAGCACCGGCUAACUCCGUGCCAGCAGCCGCGGUAAUACGGAGGGUGCAAGCGUUAAUCGGAAUUACUGGGCGUAAAGCGCGCGUAGGUGGCUUGAUAAGCCGGUUGUGAAAGCCCCGGGCUCAACCUGGGAACGGCAUCCGGAACUGUCAGGCUAGAGUGCAGGAGAGGAUGGUAGAAUUCCAGGUGUAGCGGUGAAAUGCGUAGAGAUCUGGAGGAAUACCGAUGGCGAAGGCAGCCAUCUGGCCUAACACUGACGCUGAGGUGCGAAAGCAUGGGGAGCAAACAGGAUUAGAUACCCUGGUAGUCCAUGCCGUAAACGAUGUCUACUAGCCGUUGGGGCCUUUGAGGCUUUAGUGGCGCAGCUAACGCGAUAAGUAGACCGCCUGGGGAGUACGGCCGCAAGGUUAAAACUCAAAUGAAUUGACGGGGGCCCGCACAAGCGGUGGAGCAUGUGGUUUAAUUCGAUGCAACGCGAAGAACCUUACCUACCCUUGACAUCUACAGAAGCCGGAAGAGAUUCUGGUGUGCCUUCGGGAACUGUAAGACAGGUGCUGCAUGGCUGUCGUCAGCUCGUGUUGUGAAAUGUUGGGUUAAGUCCCGUAACGAGCGCAACCCUUGUCCUUAUUUGCCAGCGAGUAAUGUCGGGAACUCUAAGGAGACUGCCGGUGACAAACCGGAGGAAGGUGGGGACGACGUCAAGUCAUCAUGGCCCUUACGGGUAGGGCUACACACGUGCUACAAUGGCCGGUACAAAGGGCUGCGAGCUCGCGAGAGUCAGCGAAUCCCUUAAAGCCGGUCUCAGUCCGGAUCGGAGUCUGCAACUCGACUCCGUGAAGUCGGAAUCGCUAGUAAUCGUGAAUCAGAAUGCCGCGGUGAAUACGUUCCCGGGCCUUGUACACACCGCCCGUCACACCAUGGGAGUUUGUUGCACCAGAAGUAGCUAGCCUAACUGCAAAGAGGGCGGUUACCACGGUGUGGCCGAUGACUGGGGUGAAGUCGUAACAAGGUAGCCGUA